UCUUCUGUAAAUAGUGCUGACCCAGGCUCUCAUCCAUCAUUCACUGUGGCAACAUUCUGACAUUUAAACAAGCAAAGAGCUUGGCGUUUCAUCCCUUGCUACUCUGUUUCUUUUCCUUCAGAUCAAGUGGAAAAGACAAAGUGCCCAAAACUUGCCAGCAGAUAAAAACGUGAAUGGGUCAGUAGAAACAAACAACGGCGGUGAAAAAUUUUCUUUCGAAGAAGUUGAUUGUCUCGUGAUAAUAGUGACAAAUAUUCAAUGUGCUUGUGGAGUACUGGGUUCUAAGACAAUACAUGGAUUAAUUCAGUGCCUUGUGGCUCUCGCAGGAGCCAAGAGGGAGAUGCCGUUAGCACCUCGGCUGCCCCGAUUUCACAGUAGAAUCACCUUGGAAGUUUCAGUAAAAGUCGCUGCCUGGGUCCCACGUGCAGAGAUUCUGAUGGUCUGGGCAGCCUGGCCUUCGGGGUUUUAAAGGCCUGCAGGUGAGCUGAAGAAGCGGCUGAAGCUGAGAACCUGAUGGGAAUAGGACCAGCGGACACUGAGCCCUGGGCACAGACCGGAUCUAAAGUUGUAACUUCCACACGAUACUGAUCUACUCGAACAGUUUCUAUUUCUAUUCUGCGUCCCUGAGGAGAGAAUAUUUGGCACUGCAUAUAACAUUAAAAAAAAAAAAAAGAAAUCCUUUCCUCUGGCUGGCAUUCAACUUUUAUAUUUUUAGAUUUGGAAAUACAUUUUCCUCUCCCUCCACCCAGCAUGUAUAUUUUUACUCUCCUCUUAUUUCUUCCAAACUGCCCCAAAAUCUGUUUCCUGGCAAUUUGAGAAGUGAGAAAUGUCAGCGUGGGGAAAAAAGUGAAGACGCAUGUGAAGCUGUAAUUUUAGCCUGGAAACAUUGCCCAACGACAAAACCAGGGACUGUCUUGUGAUGUUUUCUUCUCCUCGCACUAGCGUCCUAUUUUGUUCUCACUGAAGUUUACUCCGGCUGUCUCCCAUUCAGGCACAGUGACCCGCUUUAUGUCAGCAGCAUACUGACUUCGGAGGACAAAGGAGAGCGUGAUGACCUUAAACUACAGGGACUGAAUGGUCACUCUGAAUUCAUUGUAAAUACGCAAAGCAGGCAGUCGGCUCAGCCACAGUUCUGAUCUUUAAGCAUCCAGCCUACUGACGGGUUAGAAAGUUCCGUUCAGUCAACAAGGACCUAUCAAGUCAUUGCCAAGCACCAGGAAAAGGCCAGCCUCGGCUGUGUUGAUUUUGAAACAGCCCUGAACUCUCAGUUGGGGGGGAGGUUACAUAAACAAACAAACAAACAAACAAAAAACAGGGUGGAGUGUCUGCAGGGCUCUUCUGAUUAGCUGUGAUGUUCUCUUGGUCCAACUAAGCCAAGGACUGUCCCAGAUAACACCAAAUCCUUUCAGGUUAGAAUGCGAUCUUUUCAUUCUGCUCCUAUCAGAACAUGAGUUUGCUGAAAAAAUUUCAACUUUUCUGUUUCCUCUCUAUGGAUUAUCUAACCA
This is a long non-coding RNA of Physeter macrocephalus (sperm whale), 1505 nucleotides long. RefSeq lists it as uncharacterized. NCBI's taxonomy places the organism in Eukaryota, Metazoa, Chordata, Mammalia, Artiodactyla, Physeteridae. The transcript is spliced from 4 exons. The record is from RefSeq and is a predicted model, not a curated record.